RNAcentral lists this ribosomal RNA (494 nucleotides) under uncultured bacterium. Its description in RNAcentral is "partial 16S ribosomal RNA". It matches the Rfam family "Bacterial small subunit ribosomal RNA", at positions 28 to 507 of the family's 1533-position model. The record is from RNAcentral.
GACGAACGCUGGCGGCGCGCUUAACACAUGCAAGUCGAACGGAAAGGCCUGCUUUCCCUUGUGGAUUGCGGGUACUCGAGUGGCGAACGGGUGAGUAACACGUGAGUUAUCUGCCCCCAACUUGGGUAUAAGCCUAGGAAACUGGGUCUAAUUCCCGAUAGGACUGCAGGGUGGUGCCUGUGGUGGAAAACGAUUUUCUAGUGGUUGGGGAUGAGCUCGCGGCCUAUCAGCUUGUUGGUGGGGUAAUGGCCUACCAAGGCGGCGACGGGUAGCCGGCCUGGGAGGGUGGACGGCCACAUUGGGACUGCGAUACGGCCCAGACUCCUACGGGAGGCAGCAGUGGGGAAUAUUACACAAUGGGCGGAAGCCUGAUGCAGCGACGCCGCGUGGGGGAUGCCGGCCUUCGGGUUGUAAACUCCUUUCGACCGCGAGGAAGCCACCUGGUUGGAAGGGUGGUGACGGUAGUGGUAGAAGAAGCACCGGCUAACUACGUG